Molecule: RNA transcript, 1496 nt
Organism: Spinacia oleracea (spinach)
Lineage: Eukaryota; Viridiplantae; Streptophyta; Magnoliopsida; Caryophyllales; Amaranthaceae
Gene name: protein IN CHLOROPLAST ATPASE BIOGENESIS, chloroplastic-like
Exons: 12
Source: RefSeq, a predicted model, not a curated record
CUUUGGGCCUUCGUUUCGGUAAUUAAAAGAAGCCCUGGGCCUGGGAAAAGACUGGUUCUUCUUUUGACUCCAUUUCCCACGUUCUAUUCUCUGUGCUGAAGUAACCGGCGGCGAAACAUGAAAAUUGGCGGCGUAGCGUUUCAUCACCGGCGGCGAUUCAUUUCCACCACAUUCUAUCCCACUUCAACUUUUUUACGGUUCUUUUGUUCCUCAUCCUUCAUCUGGUGUACAGAACACAUAUCAUUCAUCAAAGAUGUAGCUGCAACUUGCGUUCCUGAGCAUUUGACCGAUUUGCUGAAUAUGCUUCAGACAAGAGGGGAUUCUAUUAUUUCGCCUGGAGACAAACAUGGCAUUUUCCCCCUUGCAAUACCUUUGUCAAGAAACAGCUCAGGUGCUAUGAUUUCUCUGUUACGGUGGCCAACAGCACCAUCUGGGAUAGAUAUGCCGGUUGUGCAAGUCUAUAAGCAUGGUGUGUUUCCAUUAGCCAAGAAUGUUGACCAGUAUAUUCAUAGAAUGUUGGUGGAAGAAGAUGCCUGUAGCCCUAAAGACAGGAACAGAGAACUACUUCAUGUUUCAGCAAAUGCUGGAAAACUGUAUAGAGAGGGGAGCUUCAUAGAUUCACAAUUGCCCAACUUAGAUACCUACCAUCUAAGAAAGGUUGGUGUGUUCCCUGAUAUUUUAGAACGCAAGAUUAACAAACACCUUGAGAAAGGGAACCGAGUUUCAGCUUUAAUAACGGGGGAAUUUUAUGCAAAGAAGCAGCAUUUUCCUGGCUUUGGACGUCCUGUUGCAUUUAAUGCACAUAUUUUGAUGAGGGUUGGGCGUGAUUUGGAGGCUAAAGAUGCUGCAAGAGGCGCGCUGAAAUCACCGUGGUGGACUUUGGGAUACAAAUACCAGGAAGUUGCUGAGAUAGCCAAAUGGAAGGACGAGCAAAUUUGUUAUGUUAAGAAAAAGUUGACAGAUGAAGGAAAGCGUGAGGAUUUGAGCAGGGGAAAGGAGCUUGCUCAGAUUGCAUUGGAUCAAGCUGCUUUUUUACUAGAUUUGGCUUCUGUCGAGGGGAAUUGGGAUGAUUUUGUGGAUCGCAUAAGUGAAUGCUACAAAGUUGCUGGUCUCCAUGAUAUGGCGAGAUUUAUAGCAUAUAAAAGCUAAACACGAGAUGCAAAUGUCCCAGAUCAGAAUUACAGAGUAUCUUAGCAGCUUUAAGUUUCAGAAGAGUAGAUCUACUUCAAUAAGUUGGCUGCAGAUUUGCAAUUAGGAGCUCGGAAACGGCAAAAAAUCCGCAAAAGCUUUACUACAAGUGUGAUCCUUGUGAUAAUUUCAAAUGGUGCAAAGGUUUUCUUGAGCACACAAGUGAUGAAGUUCAGAGCAAGGGAAACAGAGAUGAUGAAAACAGGGGAAUGCAAGAACAAAGCUGGGGAAUGCAAGAACAGAGCAGGGGAAUGCAUGAAGAGUUGAAGCUAUUGAAGAAGAAGAUCAAACAACAGAAACAGCAAAUC